This 497-nucleotide ribosomal RNA is filed under the name uncultured bacterium. Its description in RNAcentral is "partial 16S ribosomal RNA". It matches the Rfam family "Bacterial small subunit ribosomal RNA", at positions 28 to 507 of the family's 1533-position model. The record is from RNAcentral.
GAUGAACGCUGGCGGCGUGCCUAAUACAUGCAAGUCGAGCGAACAGACGAGGAGCUUGCUCCUCUGACGUUAGCGGCGGACGGGUGAGUAACACGUGGAUAACCUACCUAUAAGACUGGGAUAACUUCGGGAAACCGGAGCUAAUACCGGAUAAUAUAUUGAACCGCAUGGUUCAAUAGUGAAAGACGGUUUUGCUGUCACUUCUAGAUGGAUCCGCGCCGCAUUAGCUAGUUGGUAAGGUAACGGCUUACCAAGGCGACGAUGCGUAGCCGACCUGAGAGGGUGAUCGGCCACACUGGAACUGAGACACGGUCCAGACUCCUACGAGAGGCAGCAGUAGGGAAUCUUCCGCAAUGGGCGAAAGCCUGACGGAGCAACGCCGCGUGAGUUAUGAAGGUCUUCGGAUCGUAAAACUCUGUUAUUAGUGAAGAACAAAUGUGUAAGUAACUAUGCACGUCUUGACGGUACCUAAUCAGAAAGCCACGGCUAACUACGUG